Molecule: ribosomal RNA, 1348 nt
Filed under: Limosilactobacillus mucosae
Lineage: Bacteria; Bacillati; Bacillota; Bacilli; Lactobacillales; Lactobacillaceae
Description: partial 23S ribosomal RNA
Rfam family: Bacterial large subunit ribosomal RNA
Source: RNAcentral
GGGGAGCGAAAUUAUAGUAGCGAAGUCGUUGAUGUCACGCUGCCGAGAAAAGCUUCUAGCGAAUAAUCAACUGCCCGUACCGCAAACCGACACAGGUAGUCGAGGAGAGUAUCCUAAGGUGAGCGAGCGAACUCUCGUUAAGGAACUCGGCAAAAUGACCCCGUAACUUCGGGAGAAGGGGUGCUGAUCGCAAGAUCAGCCGCAGUGAAAAGGCCCAGGCGACUGUUUAUCAAAAACACAGGUUUCUGCAAAAUCGUAAGAUGAAGUAUAGGGGCUGACGCCUGCCCGGUGCUGGAAGGUUAAAAGGAAGAGUUAGCUUCGGCGAAGCCCUGAAUUGAAGCCCCAGUAAACGGCGGCCGUAACUAUAACGGUCCUAAGGUAGCGAAAUUCCUUGUCGGGUAAGUUCCGACCCGCACGAAAGGCGUAACGAUCUGGGCACUGUCUCAACGAGAGACUCGGUGAAAUUGAAUUGCCUGUGAAGAUGCAGGCUACCCGCGACAGGACGGAAAGACCCCAUGGAGCUUUACUGUAGCUUGAUAUUGAGUGCUUGUACUGCUUGUACAGGAUAGGUAGGAGCCAUAGAAGCCAGGACGCUAGUUUUGGCAGAGGCGUUGGUGGGAUACUACCCUUGCAUUAUGAUCACUCUAACCCGCACCUCUGAUCGAGGUGGGAGACAGUGUCAGGUGGGCAGUUUGACUGGGGCGGUCGCCUCCCAAAAGAUAACGGAGGCGCCCAAAGGUUCGCUCAGAAUGGUUGGAAAUCAUUCGCAGAGUGUAAAGGCACAAGCGAGCUUGACUGCGAGACAGACAGGUCGAGCAGGGACGAAAGUCGGGCUUAGUGAUCCGGUGGUUCCGCAUGGAAGGGCCAUCGCUCAACGGAUAAAAGCUACCCUGGGGAUAACAGGCUUAUCUCCCCCAAGAGUCCACAUCGACGGGGAGGUUUGGCACCUCGAUGUCGGCUCAUCGCAUCCUGGGGCUGUAGUCGGUCCCAAGGGUUGGGCUGUUCGCCCAUUAAAGCGGUACGCGAGCUGGGUUCAGAACGUCGUGAGACAGUUCGGUCCCUAUCCGUCGCGGGCGUAGGAAAUUUGAGAGGACCUGUCCUUAGUACGAGAGGACCGGGAUGGACAUACCGCUGGUGUACCAGUUGUUCCGCCAGGAGCAUCGCUGGGUAGCUAUGUAUGGAUGAGAUAAACGCUGAAAGCAUCUAAGCGUGAAACUCGCCUCAAGAUGAGAUUUCCCAUUCCUUAUGGAAGUAAGACCCCUCAGAGAUGAUGAGGUAGAUAGGAUGGAAGUGGAAGUGCCGCGAGGCAUGGAGCGGACCAUUACUAAUCGGUCGAGGACUUAACCAA